AUGUACAAGGGGGAGAAAGGAGAGAGAGAGAGAGAGAGAGACAGAGAGAUAGAAAGGGGGGAGGGGAAAAAAAAGCUUCCUGGCUUUCCCCUCCUGCCCUGCAAAAGAGGCCCCAAGUCCCAACUGGCUUUCAGAAUCCAGACACAAGGAAUUUACACUCGGCCAGGCUUCUCAACGCCCGGAAAACAAGCUCAGCCUUUCCGAUCGCUGAGGUCCCUGGUUGUGCGGCUGGCAAACGAAGUCCCUUUUCGAAACCCAGUUAGCAAAAACCCUCAUCAAAGGAAAGAACUUCCUGUCUAGAGAGCACCGAGUGGAGCAUUGCAUUGCCCGGGUGUUUAUAAAAAUCAACUGGCGACGCGAAGGUAGGGGUGUGUUGUGAGGGGGGGGGAGAGACACACACAGAUACGCAACCUUCUGCAGCCCCCACCCCCUAAAGACCCCCAUCCGUACAGGGGAAAAAAAUAAUCUCCCCGCUCACUCCUGCGCGAAACGGAUGCACUUGGGAAGUGAGCGAUGCUUGACGCGCUCAUUUAAGGUUAUUGUUUUACACGCUUCCCCCCCAUACACACACAUGGAUCUAUGAAUGGAAACUGGAUUUGAUCAGAACGUGGGGAAAAGAUUGAGUGUUUCGAUAUACAGUAUUUCCGUCUGCAUUUGGGCGGGGGGGGAGGGCUGUGUGAAUUAUUUAAUAGCUAAAACAACGGUCGCUUUAAUUAUGGUGAACGAGCCCUCACACCCCGGGUCGUAGCCCGGUGCUGCUGCUUUUGAUGGCCAUGCGGUCGGAUCCUGGUCACUCAGUGGUGAAACCUACAGAGAUUCCCCGAGACUUGCUCCCGGGUCAGGCGCGCAUGCCGCCGCCGCCGCCACUUGCCCGAUCCUGGGGGCGCUUCGCAGGCACAGGAGCCCCACGGAACACGCGGGCACUUACUUCAGAGUAAACAAUGAAACCGGGGUGGUGGUGGUUCAUAAGGGGAGGGGAGGGGGCCAUGGAAGGCAAAGCGUGCCAUGGAAGGGAUUUUUGGCCUCUC
RNAcentral lists this long non-coding RNA (1028 nucleotides) under Pogona vitticeps (central bearded dragon). Its description in RNAcentral is "lncRNA (ENSPVIG00000008300.1)". Lineage: Eukaryota; Metazoa; Chordata; Lepidosauria; Squamata; Agamidae. The record is from RNAcentral.